RNAcentral lists this ribosomal RNA (931 nucleotides) under fungal sp. RNAcentral describes it as "eukaryotic LSU rRNA". The stretch from base 401 to 931 matches the Rfam family "Eukaryotic large subunit ribosomal RNA", at positions 1 to 536 of the family's 3401-position model. Lineage: Eukaryota; Fungi. The record is from RNAcentral.
GCUUUGGCGGCUCCGGCCGCCAAAGGACCUUCAAACUCCAGUCAGUAAACGCAGACGUCUGAUAAACAAGUUAAUAAACUAAAACUUUCAACAACGGAUCUCUUGGUUCUGGCAUCGAUGAAGAACGCAGCGAAAUGCGAUAAGUAAUGUGAAUUGCAGAAUUCAGUGAAUCAUCGAAUCUUUGAACGCACAUUGCGCCCCUUGGUAUUCCGGGGGGCAUGCCUGUUCGAGCGUCAUUACAACCCUCAAGCUCUGCUUGGAAUUGGGCACCGUCCUCACUGCGGACGCGCCUCAAAGACCUCGGCGGUGGCUGUUCAGCCCUCAAGCGUAGUAGAAUACACCUCGCUUUGGAGCGGUUGGCGUCGCCCGCCGGACGAACCUUCUGAACUUUUCUCAAGGUUGACCUCGGAUCAGGUAGGGAUACCCGCUGAACUUAAGCAUAUCAAUAAGCGGAGGAAAAGAAACCAACAGGGAUUGCCUUAGUAACGGCGAGUGAAGCGGCAACAGCUCAAAUUUGAAAGCUGGCCCUUUUAGGGUCCGCAUUGUAAUUUGUAGAGGAUGAUUCGGCGAGGGCUCCUGCCUAAGUCCCCUGGAACGGGGCGUCAUAGAGGGUGAGAAUCCCGUAUGCGGUAGGUUGCCUUAGCCAUGUGAAUCUCCUUCGACGAGUCGAGUUGUUUGGGAAUGCAGCUCUAAAUGGGAGGUAAAUUUCUUCUAAAGCUAAAUACCGGCCAGAGACCGAUAGCGCACAAGUAGAGUGAUCGAAAGAUGAAAAGCACUUUGGAAAGAGAGUUAAAAAGUACGUGAAAUUGUUGAAAGGGAAGCGCUUGCAACCAGACUUGUCCGCAGUUGCUCAGCCGGUCUCCUGACCGGCGUACUCUUCUGCGGCCAGGCCAGCAUCAGUUCGGGCGGUCGGAUAAAGGCCUCGGGAAUG